GUAAAUCCGGGCCAGCAGCCGCGGUCAUACGGAAGAUACAAGCGUUAUCCGGAAGUACUGGGCGUAAAGAGGUGCGUAGGUGGCAUAGUAAGCAGAUAGUGAAAUUGUGUGGCUCAACCAUACACCCAUUAUCUGAACUGCUAAGCUAGAGUAUAUGAGAGGUAGCUGGAAUUCCUAGUGUAGGAGUGAAAUCCGUAGAUAUUAGGAGGAACACCGAUGGCGUAGGCAGGCUACUGGCAUAUUACUGACACUAAGGCACGAAAGCGUGGGGAGCGAACGGGAUUAGAUACCCGGGUAGUC
RNAcentral lists this ribosomal RNA (300 nucleotides) under uncultured Clostridium sp. Its description in RNAcentral is "bacterial SSU rRNA". It matches the Rfam family "Bacterial small subunit ribosomal RNA", at positions 497 to 795 of the family's 1533-position model. The record is from RNAcentral. Lineage: Bacteria; Bacillati; Bacillota; Clostridia; Eubacteriales; Clostridiaceae.